This 497-nucleotide ribosomal RNA is filed under the name uncultured bacterium. Its description in RNAcentral is "partial 16S ribosomal RNA". It matches the Rfam family "Bacterial small subunit ribosomal RNA", at positions 28 to 507 of the family's 1533-position model. The record is from RNAcentral.
GAUGAACGCUGGCGGCGUGCCUAAUAUAUGCAAGUCGAGCGAACGGACGAGAAGCUUGCUUCUCUGAUGUUAGCGGCGGACGGGUGAGUAACACGUGGAUAACCUACCUAUAAGACUGGGAUAGCUUCGGGAAACCGGAGCUAAUACCGGAUAAUAUUUUGAACCGCAUGGUUCAAAAGUGAAAGACGGUCUUGCUGUCACUUAUAGAUGGAUCCGCGCUGCAUUAGCUAGUUGGUAAGGUAACGGCUUACCAAGGCAACGAUGCAUAGCCGACCUGAGAGGGUGAUCGGCCACACUGGAACUGAGACACGGUCCAGACUCCUACGGGAGGCAGCAGUAGGGAAUCUUCCGCAAUGGGCGAAAGCCUGACGGAGCAACGCCGCGUGAGUGAUGAAGGUCUUCGGAUCGUAAAACUCUGUUAUUAGGGAAGAACAUAUGUGUAAGUAACUGUGCACAUCUUGACGGUACCUAAUCAGAAAGCCACGGCUAACUACGUG